Molecule: ribosomal RNA, 548 nt
Filed under: uncultured bacterium
Lineage: Bacteria
Description: partial 16S ribosomal RNA
Rfam family: Bacterial small subunit ribosomal RNA
Source: RNAcentral
UGGGGAAUUUUGGACAAUGGGCGAAAGCCUGAUCCAGCAAUGCCGCGUGUGUGAAGAAGGCCUUCGGGUUGUAAAGCACUUUUGUCCGGAAAGAAAUCCUUGGCUCUAAUACAGUCGGGGGAUGACGGUACCGGAAGAAUAAGCACCGGCUAACUACGUGCCAGCAGCCGCGGUAAUACGUAGGGUGCAAGCGUUAAUCGGAAUUACUGGGCGUAAAGCGUGCGCAGGCGGUUUGCUAAGACCGAUGUGAAAUCCCCGGGCUCAACCUGGGAACUGCAUUGGUGACUGGCAGGCUAGAGUAUGGCAGAGGGGGGUAGAAUUCCACGUGUAGCAGUGAAAUGCGUAGAGAUGUGGAGGAAUACCGAUGGCGAAGGCAGCCCCCUGGGCCAAAUACUGACGCUCAUGCACGAAAAGCGUGGGGGAGCAAAACAGGAUUAGAUACCCUGGUAGUCCACGCCCUAAAACGAUGUCAACUAGUUGUUGGGGAUUCAUUUCCUUAGUAACGUAGCUAAACGCGUGAAAGUUGACCGCCUGGGGAGUACGGUCGC